UACGGAAGGGGCUAGCGUUGUUCGGAAUUACUGGGCGUAAAGGGCGCGUAGGCGGCUUACCAAGUUGGGGGUGAAAUCCCAGGGCUCAACUCCGGAACUGCCUUCGAAACUGGUAGGCUUGAGUCCGGAAGAGGGGCGCGGAAUUCCCAGUGUAGAGGUGAAAUUCGUAGAUAUUGGGAAGAGCACCGGUGGCGAAGGCGGCUUGCUGGUCCGGUACUGACGCUGAGGCGCGAAAGCGUGGGGAGCAAACAGG
Molecule: ribosomal RNA, 253 nt
Filed under: uncultured bacterium
Lineage: Bacteria
Description: partial 16S ribosomal RNA
Rfam family: Bacterial small subunit ribosomal RNA
Source: RNAcentral